This 71-nucleotide transfer RNA is filed under the name Ovis aries (sheep). It matches the Rfam family "tRNA". From Rfam's summary of the family: Transfer RNA (tRNA) molecules are approximately 80 nucleotides in length. Their secondary structure includes four short double-helical elements and three loops (D, anti-codon, and T loops). The record is from Rfam by way of RNAcentral. Lineage: Eukaryota; Metazoa; Chordata; Mammalia; Artiodactyla; Bovidae.
UUCCAAGUGGCUCAGUGGUAAAGAAUCUGCCUGCAAUGCAGGAGACCCAGGUUCGAUCCCAGGGUUGGGAA